GUGUUCUUUCUUUCCAUAUUUGUUCUUUGUCUGUCGCGAUUUCUUUCCUUUGUUUGCAGGUCAGCGUGAGGAUCUCGGUGGCGAGACAAGACUGAGGCGUGGCGUGCUAAUGAUGGCGACGAUCUCGGUGUUGUUUGCGCGCCGAUGGUGGCGCGACAUCCAGUAGCUGAGGUCAAGGAGAAAGUCGUGGCGCUGAUGGAGCCUUGACAUGAGGCUAACAGACGCUCCCCAAAAGUUCUAGAGUUUCGUGAAACGAAAGGGCGCUUAUUGGACAUGACGUUUGAGGCUCCUGAAGCUUCUAGAAUCCUUUGCGGCUCGAGGAGAAAGAGAGCUAGGGUUUCUAACCCUAUAUGAAAGUCAUUUAGGCCCCUACUGUUUGGGCCUUCGAGUUUAUUGGUAUUAGGUGGGUCUGUUUGGGUCUACUGUAAUGGGUCUGGUUUAGGUUUGGGUUACGGGUGCAUUUGGGUACACGGGUAGUGGGAUUUGGUUUUGAAGGUUUUAAAUAUUGGGCCUACGGGUUAAUUUUUUUUGGGCUCUAUAUAUGGACUUUUAAAUGGACAUUUUAAAUAAAUAAAUAAACUUAUUUAUUUAAUUCUUUUAUUCUGUUUUCAGCCCUGUCAAAUUUGGGCUACUACAGCUGCCCAUCUUUGCUCAUUGCUGUGUGACGGGAAUCGAGCAAAGAUUUAGAAAGACGAAAUUUGACCGGUCUUAUCAAAUCAUGGUCUUCAAUCUGCUUCUAGUAAACUUAUGACUGUCAUGUUGAUAUCUUCGAUCUGCUCUCUGCCGAACACAGAGACGCCAAAUCUACUUCUUCGAUUUAUUUUCUGACAAUACAAAGAUGCCAAAUCAUAUUAGAUUUGCUUCAGCGUAAGCAUGCGAAAACCAAAUCAGCUAUGUCUUCGAUUUGCUCCUUGUGAGCACAAGGAUACCAAACCAUCUUGGAUCUACUUUAGUCUAAUCAUCUGAAGGUUAGAUCUGCUAUGUGUCUGCCCUCCGUCGAAUAUGGAGACACCAAACUUCGAUUUGUUCUCUGGCAAUACAGAUAUGCCAAAUCAUCUUAGAUUUGCUUCAUCGUAAGCACGUGAAAGCCAAAUCAGCUAUGUCUUCAAUUUGUUCCUUGUAAGCACAAGGAUGUCAAACCAUCUUGGAUCUUGCUUUAGCCAGAUCUGCUAUGCUGCAGUCUAUUACCCUACUGCUUAGGGGAUUAAGGCGCGUCGUCUUUGAUAACUUGUAGAAUGAUUAUGCCUAAUGAUUAGGAUGCUAUGAUCGAAGUGAGUCGAAUGUUCCUAAUUAAACAUGUUAUGAUGCAAAAUGUUGUGAACAUGACCCCUAUCCUAGACGUCACCACUCAUUCCUUCAUUUUUCUCAAAGUAUUAUUCUUGCUCAGCCUGUAGGCCUGUUCCCUUCCUCAAAUGCUACGAUCCACUGAGGAUGUCUGUAAGAUAAUCUUUCCUUAGAAUUGAAUCAUUGGUUUUGUCCAUUUUCCUUUUGGACUGGAAGAAAGAAAUUCCUCGAGUUCCUUCAUCCUUUACUUAUGUGAAUUUCUUGAACAAUUGUCCUGUUUUAGUUUCUUGUAUUAUCUAGAAAUUCCAGAGUAAUGCGCAAAACUUCGUUUGUGAACAUAUUUAGUUCAUCUAUCAUUAUUUCAAUGCAACAUACUUAAAGAAUAAUGGAAGAUAAAUAAAUCUCUAAGAAUAAUUGGAUUUGAAUGAAUUAUCGAAAAAGAUACAAAGGAAAUUAAUCUGAAAGCCUAUCUUUGAGAAGAAAAAAAAUUUUAAAGAUAGCAAACAGGCCAAAAAUUAGAUGCCCUAGAUAUCGCCGCUUGAGCGCUUAUAUAUCAACUUCAUGAAGGCAUGUGUUUAGAAGAUUCAAAGUACUCUGUCGAUGCCCCAGUAUGCAACGUUCUUCAUUCUUUGUUGAGUAAGAUUACUAGAUGCUUCAAAAUUUGAGUCGCCCUUUCAGGUUUUCAACUCGAAACCCUUUUGGUCAAAGACGCCUUUUGCGGGUUUUCACCUUGGCCUCUCCAUUUUUCUCUUUUUUCCUUUUCUCUCUUUUUUUAUUUUCUAUUUUUUGUUUUCUUUUGAUUUUCAAAACCUCAAAGUGCCCUUUGUGGGUUUUCACCUUGGAUUCUCUUCUCCUUUAGACAAAGUAUUUUUUAACUGAGUCUAAGUUCAUUGGGUUGGGUAAAAUUUUCCCAUCCAUUUUCGUUAAGAUCAAUGCACCACCAGAGAAAGCUUUCUUCACGACAUACGGCCCCUCCCAAUUCGACAUCCAUUUCGCCCUAAAGUCUUUUUGAAUAGGAAGGAUCUUUUACAGUACAAGGUCUCCCUCGUGGAACUUUCUUGGUCGAACUUUCUUAUCAUAAGCUCGCAUCAUUCGCUUCUGAUAUAUCUGACCAUGUCGAAUGGCUCUUAGCCUCUUUUCCUCAAUCAAGUUCAAUUGGUCAUAUCGGGAUUGAACCCAUUCAACUUCAUCUAACCUUAUCUCCAUCAAAAUUCGAAGAGAAGAUAUUUCUACUUCAAUAGGUAACACUGCUUCUAUCCUAUAAACUAACGAGAAUGGGGUUGCCCCAGUAAAGGUUCUGACAGAUGUUCGAUUGGCCAGGAGUGCAAACGAUAACUUCUCAUGCCAAUCUCUAUAGGUCUCAGUCAUCUUCCCCACUAUUUUCUUAAUGUUCUUGUUGGCGGCCUCCACUGCCCCAUUCAUUUUUGGAUGAUAGGGAGAAGAAUUGUGAUGCUUGAUCUUGAACUGGUCGCAAACCUCUGCUAUCGUUUUAUUGUUUAAGUUCAAUGCAUUGUCGGAUAUGAUCUUCUCAGGCAUUCCAUACCGACAAAUGAUCUCCUUCUUCAAGAUAAAUCGAUGUCCAUGCGAAGCUUUCGGUGAUAUUGGUCCAAUGACAUCUAUGCCUCACAUGGAGAAGGGCCAUGGAGAAGUCAUAACUUGCAAAGGUGAAGGUGGUAAAUGAAUUUUGUUCCCAUAAAUCUGACACUUAUGGCAUUUCUUGGUAUAGUUGAUACAGUCCCUUUCCAUAGUGGCCCAAUAAUAACCAAACCUCAUGAUUUGCCUUGCCAUCGUGAACCCAUUUGCAUGCGUCCCACAUACACCUUCAUGAACUUCUUCUAAAAUUAGCUUAGCUUCCACAGCAUCGACACAUCUCAAAAGUACUUGGUCUUUCCUUCUCUUGUACAGGAUAUCCCCGUCCAGGGUAUUUACGAUCUCUCACAUAUCAUAAUAUAUCCUGAUACCAAGGGUUAUCGUCCUUUUCUUCCUUCUCAAUGUUACAACAAUGAGCUGGAUCCUCGUAGACACUCAUUUGAAUUGGUCUCAUCUCUUCCUCUUUAUUCGCCUUAAUCAUUGAGGCCAAGGUUGCUAAAGCAUCUGCCAUCUGAUUUUCGUCUCGUGGGAGAUAAUUGAAGGUGAUGUCAUCGAACUCCUCAAGUAACCUCAAAACUACCUUUCGAUAAUUGAUCAAUUUAGGGUCCCUUGUCUCCCAUUCACCUCUAAGCUGAUAAAUUACCAACGCAGAAUCUCCAUAUACUUUUAGGGUUUUUAUACCUCGCUCUAUUGCUGCUUGAAGUCCCAUGAUGCAUGUUUCAUACUCAUCCAUAUUAUUCGUGCAAUCAAAGCCCAACUUGCAUGUGAACGGGUAAUGAUCGCCAUUUGGGGAUACCAAGACUGCCCCAAUUCUAUUUUUGACUGCAUUAGAAGCCUCAUAAAAAUUUAGCUUCCAAGGAGAAUCUUCGGUCGUUGCUAUACACAUUAACUCCUCAUUUGGAAAAUCAAAGUUCAAUGGCUCAUAAUCCUCUAGAGCCCUACUGGCCAAGAAGUCUGCUACCGCACUUCCUUUUAUAAACUUCUGACUUAUGUAGACUAUAUCAAACUUUGAAAGCAAAAUUUACCAUCUCGCCAUUCUCCCAUUUAGAGCCGUUGACUCCAUUAUGUAUUUCAAUGGAUCAAGCUUUGGGAUGAGCCAAGUGGUAUGGUAUAACAUGUACUGUCUUAAUCUCCGAGUUGUCCAAAUCAGCGCACAGCACAACUUUUCAAUUGGUGGAUAUCUCAUUUCACAGUCAGUGAAUUUCUUACUGAGAUAAUAAAUUGCCUUCUCCUUUUUCCUUGACUCGUCAUGCUGACCAAGCACACAUCCCAUAGAAUUACUGAACACUGACAAGUACAGUAUUAACGGUUUAUCUGGGCUAGGUGGAGAUAAUACCGGAGCAUUCAACAAAUACUGCUUGACCUUUUCAAAAGCAUUCUGACACUCCUCAUCCCAAGUACCUUGAUUGUGCUUUCUGAGGAGGCGAAAGAUAGGAUCACAUUUCUCAGUUAGUUGUGAAAUGAACCGAGCGAUGUAAUUCAACCUUCCUACGAAUCCUCGAACUUCUUUUUGAGUUUGUUGUGGAGGAAAUUCUCGUAUUACUUUGACUUUGUCUGAAUCAACUUCUAUUCCCUUUUCACUGACUACGAAACCCAAUAGCUUUCCCGAUCUAGCUCCGAAGGUGCACUUUGCCGGAUUGAGCCUCAACUGAAACUUUCUCAACCUCAAGAAUAGUAUUCUCAAAACUUCAAUAUGCUCUUUCUCUGUUUGGGACUUAGCAAUCAUGUCAUCAACAUAUACUUCAAUGUCCUUAUGAUCAUGUCGUGAAACAAGUUCACCAUGGCCCGCUGGUAGGUUGCCCCAUGCGUUCUUCAGUCCAAACGACAUUACUUUGUAGCAAAAAGUACCCCACAAGGUUAUGAAGGUGGUUUUAUCCGUGUCCUCUAGAUGCAUCUUUAUCUGAUUGUACCCCAAGAAACCAUCCAUGAAGGAAAACAACGAAUGUCCCGCCGUGUUGUUUACCAAAGUGUCGAUGUAUGGCAAAGGAAAGUUGCCUUUUGGGCUAGCUUUAUUCAGAUCUCUGUAAUCAACACACAUUCGCACCUUCCCAUCCUUCUUAGGGACCGGCACAACAUUAGCUACCCAUUCGGAGUACUUGACCUCUUGUAAGAAUCCUGCAUCGAACUGCUUCUUAACCUCAUCUUUUAUUUUUAGAACAAUGUCUGACCGCAUUCUCCGCAACUUCUGUUGGACUGGUUUGCAAUCCUGUCUUAUCGGAAGAUGAUGUACUACAAUGUCGAUACUCAAUUCGGGCAUAUCUUGAUAUGACCAUGCGAAGAUAUCCUUGAACUCUCGAAGCAACUAAACCAGACCAUGCCUAGUGUCCCCGGUAAUCAGUGUUCUAAUUUUCAACUCAUUCUCUUCCUCUAGGGCUACAUUUUCUAUUACCUUUUUCUCAUCCGGGAUAAUUCGUUUUUCCUCCUGUUUUACCAUUCUUAACAGAUCUGGAGACACAUCACAAUCUUGAACAUCUUCAAAAUCCUGAGAUUCCUCUAAACACAUGUCUUACUCGCAAGAGAAAUCAAGAGUUGCGGUAUCAGUGCUCAUAUCAUUGAUAUCUAGGGACCUGUGGGGGUAUGAAAGAAUAUACAAAGAAUGAAUGAAUCUAAGAAUGAUCGUUUAUGUGCUAUGAAUGAAAGAAUGAGAAUUGCAAAAGUUUAACGAAAUAUUGAUUGAUAAAAAGAAAUUAUAUUCGUCCAAAUUGAUAAUAAAGUUAUGUUUUAUUAAAAUAAUAAUAGAUGAUCAUAAGCCUUUUUCACAAACGUAAUCUUACUACUCCUAGGACCUAGAGUAACAAGCAUGUUUCGAGAAUUACUCUGAAAAAUUCCUAAAGACUACAGGAAGGUCAUCCGCAGUCUAAUUGUUCAGAGAGCUCCCCAGUUCGUAAGGGUGAAUGCCCUCGAGGCUUCCUUACUCCAAUCCCUCAUUGUGUACAGCAUUAAUUUGAUGACUUUCUUCUACCAGUAACCCUCCUAACUUAAAGGAUUUGGAUAUAGAUGGGAAUGUCAUCGGUUCCCACUCUACUUCUCUUCCGUUCAAACGCGCCUUUCUUUUCACUUGGCGCUUCUCAAUCUCUUGCCUCCGGUCCUUAUGGUCUGGCUUGAAGCCCAAACCAAAGCGAUCUUUCUUCUCAAUCAAUUUUGGGAUUUGAACCCCUCCUUGCAACUAUCUUUCUAGUCCUUUUCCUGGUAAUACUCCCUUCCCCAUCAUCAAUUGCAAGGCCAUCCUUGUGGCUGUAGACAUUUUGGGUACCGGCACCUCACUUCCUUCCAAAAUGAAAGUUGCAUUGAUGAUUUCUAAAGAGCGGAAAGAACACUCAAUAGCUUCUUCAUUCGCCUCAACAUAAGGGGCCUUGCUAGUGACUGCUGCUAUAAUGUCCUCCUUCGCAUUGAUGGUUAUUAACCGUCCAUCUGUCAUUAACUUCAAUUUUUGGUGCAAUGAGGAUGGCACCGCUCCUGCCGAGUGUAUCCAUGGUCUCCCCAAUAAACAAUUAUAGGAGGGCUUGAUAUCCAUCACCAAGAAAUCAACUUCAUAUGUAUUUGGCCCAAUUUCCAAAGGGAUGUCAAUUCGUCCCAUCACUUUCCUUUCGGUUCCAUCGAAGGCUCUUACCACAUUGUGACAUGUUUUCAUAUGCGAACUGUCAAUGGGUAAUUUGUUCAAUGUGGAUAAUGGAAGGACGUUCAAAGCCAACCCGUUAUCAACGAGUACACUUAGAAGCGUGUAUCCCUUGCACCGAGUAGUGAUGUGCAAGGCCCUGGUUGACCCUAUGCCCCUAAGUGGAAUUUCAUCAUCAUUGAAGUAGAUGAAAUUUUUAGCACUAAUGUUAUUCACCAACCGGUCUAGCUUGUUAACGGAUAUGUCGUGGGUGACAUAUGUUUCGUUAAGUACCUUCAACAAUGCAUCCCGAUGCACCUCAAAGCUCCGAAGUAGGGCUAAUACUGAUAUACGUACUGGCUGCCUAUGCAACUGCUCGACCACACUAUACUCGCUAUGCUUAAGGAACUUUAGAAACUCCUUAGCCUCCUCCUCCUUUACUGGCUCCUUGAUAGGCACUUCAACCUCUUUCUUCUUUUCAACGUCAAUAUCCUUUGUUUUCACGGGCUCCACUCUGAUGCCCCCUCAUCAUAGCGCUUCCCACUUCGUGUAUGGGAACCUUCAUUUUGCACGCCCCUAGAUGCACUGGCUAUACUCUCCCCCUCAGGUACUGUUACACUGCAGUCAUAGCUCCAUGGCACCUUCUUAUCAUCCUUGUAAGAGAAAGGAGUAGGUUUAUGGAUGACGACCUUGGGCCCGAUUUGCGCCCCCACUUCAUUAUUCCUCGGCAAGGAAAUAAUAAUUCUUGGUCGGCUGUUUCCUUGUUGUUGAUUUUCCAGCACACAUAUUUGUCUUUUGCAAGAACUACCCUGAAAAAUCUGUAGCUCUUUGUUAACCAUAAAGGCUUGCACCAUUGCCUUGAACUCUUCACAAUUUUGGAUCAUAUGACCCACCUCUCCAUGGAAUUCACAAUAGUUCCCUAUUCUUUCUCUACCUUUUCCAGAGGUCAACAUACCUCUCUUCACCAUCUCCUCCCAUAUUACUUUCAUGGGUGUCUUCACCUUAGCAACAUCUUCCUUGACUCUUUCUUCCCUAGUUUCAUCAAUGGCAUUCACUCCUUAAUUGCCAUGAUCUGGUAAUGGAUUUUCAGCAUUAUGGGUACUGUCAAAUUUCACAACCCCCAUCUUGAUAAGCCUCUCCACAGCCUUUUUGAAUCCGGUGCAGUUUUCAAUCGAAUGCCCCGGUAUUCCCGCAUGAUAUUCGUAUUUAGCAUUUGCAUCAUACCAUUUGAGGUAUGGUGGCUGUAGCGGUUUCAAGUGAAAUGGAGCAAUAGCAUGUGCAUCGUAUAAACUUUGAUAAAGCUCACGAUACAUCACAGGGAUAGGCGUGAAUUGCAUCCUUUCCGAAUUCUGUCUUGUGCCCGAUUCCUGUCUUUGAGUACUUUGUUGCUCGACCGCGGCUACUUUGGGUUGACCAACUAUGAUUACCCUCGAGUUGAAACUAUUCAUGUUAUUCACCUCGUUGUCCUUUCUCCUUGGGGCUGAUCUUUUAGCCAUUUCCCCCUCAAUUUUACCACCCCUUAUGGCGUUCUCAAUCAUCUCUCCUGCCAUAACUAUAUCCGCGAAACUUUUCAUGGUGCUUCCAAUCAUGUGAGUGAUGAACGGCGCUUUCAAAGUGUUGAUAAACAACAUGGUGGUCUCCUUUUCUAACAGUGGUGGUUGUACUUGCAUUGCCACUUCCCUCUAUCGUUGUGCGUAUUACCUAAAACUGUCAUUAGGCUUUUUCUCCAUGUUUUGAAGUGUGAUCCUGUCCGGCGUCAUAUCAGUCACAUAGUUGUACUGUUGCAUGAAGGCUUGUGUAAGAUCUCUCCAUGAACCGAUUCUUGCACGGCUCAACUGAUUGUACCACCUAGCCGCUACUCUUACUAAGCUAUCUUGAAAACAAUGGAUCAAUAGUUGAUCAUUGUUCACAUACCCAGUCAUUCUCCUACAAAACAUUGUUAUGUGUGCCUCUGGGCAAGUAGUCCUGUUGUACUUUUCAAACUCCGGCAUCUUAAAUUUGUGAGGAAGCACCAAGUCUGGGACCAAACUUAAGUCUUUGGCAUCAAUAUGAUGAUUGUCAGUGCCUUCCAAAACCCUAAACUUCUCCUCCAACCACUUGCAACGAUCCUCCAACUGUUUUGAGGAUUCAGUUACCAUUCUUUCCUUCUCCAUCAUAUCUAGGUUAGGAGUGAUAGGGUUGAUCGGGCUAUCGCCUAAAUUAUUUCUCGACCCCAAUAGGAAAUUCACGGGGAUUACAGCAUCAACCGGCCCAUGUUGAGGCCUUACAGUGACAGAUGGCCUUCUAGGAGGUGCCUUGGUUUGUAGUGGCACAUGAGGCGGAGUAAAACUCGGAGGAUGAUCCUCACCUUCCUCACCAGUGAUAGCCACGGGAGCUUUCCCUUUAUCAGUGGCCCUUAGCAGCUGAACCAUUUCAGCCAUCAUAUUCCUCUAAGCCUCUAGCAUUUGCUCUCUCAUGUCAUUCUGCAUUUUGGCCAAUUGCUCUUGCAAUUGGUCUUGCAUAUCCUUUUGCAAUUGUUCGAACCUUUGAUCCAUACUCUUAGUUUUAGUGCGAGUGUCGUAAGGAUGUGUGAUUUCCAAAUUUUCUUUUCUACCUUUGGAAGUAAACUUUAACUAAUUAGGGUAUUUCUAUAACUUUGAAUGCAUAUGAUGUGAUGUAAUGCAAAUGCAUGAAUGCAAAAAGGCAUCGAUCUCGAUUCAAUCUCAUUUAGAAAAUUUUAUUUAGAAAAAGAAUAUCUUUACAUAUAAAUGGAUUACAUAUGCGCCUUUGCCCUAAUGCCCAAAGUUCUAACUUUAUCUAAUAAAAGGGCUAACUCUCGACCUUUAUCAGACACUGACUCAUACAUCAUACUCAACGCAUCAGCUCGUACUGUUAAGUCUCGAACAUAUUCAGCAAUCUCUCGGACCUGGGCUAUAGCCUCCCCAAUAAUGUAAUCCCUAUCUCUGACUUGACAUUUAACUUGAUGGAGCUCUCCUUUUAUACAAUCUUCUUGCGCCUCGAGCUGCUCAAUCUGAAGUUCACCAUCAUGCAAUGCCACUUCCGAAUCUUCAACCUUACUUUUUAGUUCCUUUAACUCGACUGUAGGAUCAUGGUUUCGGUGCCGACGAAGGGAUCUUCCAAGCUCAGUUACCUUAGUCUUCAACCCUUUAUUCUCUUUCUUUAAUGGAAAAUUCUGUGACCGCAUCUCUUGGAACUUCCUCUCCCAAUACUCAGCUCUAGCUCUUUCCUCUUGAACUUCUUUCUACCACACCACUCGCUUUAAAGAUACUUGUGCCUUCUUAUACUCCUCUUUUAAAUCAUCUCGGUCUUCCUCAAUCUUCCUCUUUUCCUUCCUAACUUUUUCAACCUCCUUCUUUUGCAGGUCAACAUCUAGACUCAGGUACAUCUUCUCCUCCUCAAGCUUUUCUAUCUUCUUUCCGAGUUCCAAAUUCUUUCUCUUAAAUUCUUGCUUCAUGAUAUCAAGCUCCGAGGGUAUCACUUGUAGAUAUUCCUCCAUUGGUCAAACUUCCUCCAUUUUUGUCCUAGGGACAUUAUCGUUAAUCCUUCUAUUCCUCCACUUGACAUAUUCCGAUGUUGUAGCAGGAUUAAUGGCCACUCCCUUCAAUCGACAAGUCUUGUUCCAAGCACUAGAAACCUCGCUAACCUUCCUCUUGUAAUCGGCUCCUCUGUAUACAAACUCACUUUGAGCCAACCCAUGAGUCGCUGGUACGAACUGUUUCAAUCCAUGUUGCCUCAGCACAAGUAAAGGGGCAUAACCAAUGGCACCCCAAAUUCCUAAUAGGGGAACGCAAUCAAAGCUGCCGCAUCGAUAAAGUAUCUCACCAGGAACCAUCUAUGGAGCUCUCCACUCAACAUCCUCCGACUAAUGAUUCCGAAGUAAUGCUAUCCAAUUCUCUUCCGGCAUAUCCACUUUUCUGGAUGAGGCUACUAUAUCUUUCAUUGGGGAGUAGUUCUCAAAGAAAACUCGACAAACAAUUCCAUCAAUCAAUUGGAAGUGACUGUAGAACCAAGUAAAAAGUAACUGAGCACACCCUAUAAACCUGCCUGCACUAGCCCUCCUACAUGCACCUAAGGACCUGAAAGUCUCCACCAAAAUUGUAGGGACAGAAGUGACCUUUUUACUGAGUCGAUGAAAAAGAUCCGUUGUUGCCUCGUCCACAUAUCCCAAAGCCCUAGGGAAAACCAUCAGUCCAUACAAACUUAAGGCAAAAAUGUCUACCUUCUUCGUCUCAUUGAGGUGUGUCAAAAUCAGAUCUUUCAAAGCGUCCCACGAAAUGCACUUGUAUUCACCCUUCUCUUUAAUUCUGGCCGUGAUCCAGUGCUCGCUCAUCCCCGUAAUGGUCAUUAAUUUCUUCCAAAAGGUAGGGACACAAGCAGCUCGAGAAUAGAUCCUAUCACUUUGAAACCUGGGACAACGAAGUAAGGCAGUGUACUCCUCUACGGUAGGAAGUCUACUUUCCCAAAAGUGAAGCAACUGUACGCCGGGUUCCAAAACUGAGCAAGGGCUCGGAACAAGUGCUCAUCUACCUGAAUAUCAAGCAAGUAAGGUAAAUCUCCGUAAUUAUCGUAGAAUAACUGCUUGGUCUCAUUGCCCCACUGAUCCCAAAUUUCCUUAAGCUCUUGGAGAUUAUUCUGUGUGACACUAAUACGAGUAUAAUCUGACAGCUCUGGCACAUAUCCCAUAGUUAUACUGUCUCCCUUUUCUAGCUGAGUUUGCUCUGACCAUCUAUGAACAUCGGCAUUGCCCUCCACUCUAUCAAAAAGUCCGUUCUCCAUAAUAAAACUUCCUAACUUAGAGACUGAUCGUGAAUCGAUACCUUUGUAAAUGCAAAAUGACAUACAAACAAAAGAAAAGAAAUAGUCAGUAUCACAUGAUAUCAAUAAAUCCCAACGAUAAUUUAUAAGGGUAAUAUCUAAAGUAUAGCUCUGACUAAGUUGGGCUCUUACGGUUUUUCUAUAUGAGGUUGGUUCUAAAGUUUGAGGUACCCGAACCAGCAGAUUCCUCGAUUCUCACCCAUUAUAUGCUCAUUUGAAACGAGUUUAGUUCAGGGGAAUACAUUUCCCUAUAGCUAUAUGGAGAUGAAAAUCUCACAAAACCAUAGGUACGGAUAUAUCCCGAAAGUGAUCUACUAUCCUACACGGAGGCAAAAACUUCACGAAGGCGUAGUUUCUCACUCCCACUUUAGGGUGCGACCACAACGGUCAUGCAAAUGCAAUGCACAUCAUAAUUUAGCGAUACAUGCAAUAAUACAAACACAUGUAAUGCAAAAGGAUUGAAUUUCAAAAUUUUCUAAAUUUUCGACAUUAGGACAAAAGGGUAAUCAACUAUACGGCUUGGCUCUCUUGAUCUCCCCAGCGGAGUCGCCAAGCUGUCGAGACCAUUUUUUAAAUCGAGUUUUAGAAAAUGGGAAUCGACUUUAAGAAAAACAAAAACAGGAGUCGCCACCAAUAUUUUUAGGUGUGAUUGGAUCACCUUAUAAAAUGUUUUGUUUAAAAAUCAUUAGUUUCGAUCUACGAAAUCAAAAAAUGGGUUCGGAAGUCGGUUACAUACGAGAAAUGAUUAGCACCCUCGUAACGCCCAAAAAUUGGUACCUAAUUGAUUAUCAAAAUGUCUUUAAUGUUGGAAAUUUUUAAAAAAAUUUAAGAUGCAAUCCUUUUUUUAAAUAUUUUUGACUUUGAAAAUUAAGGUUCACUUGUAUCAAAUGAAUCAAAAUAUUACAUCCAAUAAGUUAGGACACAAUAUUUUUAAGACAUUUGACACUAAGUUAGUCCUUUUGAAAAUCCCUAUCUCGAAACAACGAAACGUCAUAUCCAAUAAGUUAGGACACAACGCUCUGAAAUUCCAAGACAGUUGCUUGCAUUUUGAAAACCUUAAAAACUUAGAAGGGUGCUUGAUUAUUUGAACUCAACGAGGAAAGUUGCAACCCAGUAAGUUAGGGCACUAAUUUUCUCGAAACUUUCAAACACCAAGCAUUGCCUUUAUUUUUUGAAAACUUUAGAGUCUUGUUUUUAAAAUCGAUGCAUGAAGGAGCAUAUACGAGAUAAGAUGUUAUAAUAAUAGGUAAAUAAAAGCACAAUAGCAUAAAUAUCAUACAUUAACUAACAUAUAUAUAUAAGAAAUAAAACAUGGCAAAUUUUAAAUAAGUAAAAUAUAAAAAAAACAAUAUAUAUAUUUAAGAAAAGUAGGUAAAAACACAUAAACAUGUAAUUCAACAUAUAUUUAAACAUAUUAAUAAAAAAUGAUGCAUGAUAUACAAUUUAACAUAAACAUUCCUAAAAUAAUAUCAACAUACAUGUCAAUUCUAAAAUAUGACCUUUAAUAAUAAUCACAAAACAGUAUUUAAUAUAUAAAUGAUAUGUUCAAUAUAUGUGAAAGAAUUAAUGUAUAUUAAAAUGUAAUAUAAGGUAAGUAAUUAUUGAUAAAAUAUACCUAAAUUAUAAAUUUAAAAAAAAUGCUUAAAAUAAGUUAUGUAUAAUAAUAUAAUAUGAAUAAAAUAAGGAAAUAUAAAAUAAUAAUAUGAAUAAUAUGAUCUCGGCGUUGUUUGCGCGCCGAUGGUGGCGCGACAUCCAGUAGCUGAGGUCAAGAAGAAAGUCGUGACGCUGAUGGAGCCUUGACAUGAGGCCAACAGACGCUACCCGAAAGUUCUAGAGUUUCGUGAAAUGAAAGGGCACUUAUUGGACAUGACGUUUGAGGCGCCUGAAGCUUCCAGAAUCCUUUGCGGCUCGAGGAGAAAGAGAGCUAGGGUUUCUAACUCUAUCUGAAAGUCAUUUGGGCCCCUGUUGUUUGGGCCUUCGAGUUUAUUGGUAUUAGGUGGGUCUGUUUGGGUCUGCUGUAAUGGGUCUGGUUUAGGUUUGGGCUACGGGUGCAUUUGGGUAGUGGGAUUUGGUUUUGAAGGUUUUAAAUAUUGGGCCUACGGGUUAAUUUUUUUUGGGCUCUGUAUAUGGACUUUUAAAUGGACAUUUU
RNAcentral lists this long non-coding RNA (13433 nucleotides) under Gossypium barbadense (sea-island cotton). Its description in RNAcentral is "long non-coding RNA (GBAR_LNC002375)". The record is from RNAcentral. Lineage: Eukaryota; Viridiplantae; Streptophyta; Magnoliopsida; Malvales; Malvaceae.